GACGAACGCUGGCGGCGUGCUUAACACAUGCAAGUCGAACGGAAAGGCCCUUCGGGGUACUCGAGUGGCGAACGGGUGAGUAACACGUGGGUGAUCUGCCCUGCACUUUGGGAUAAGCCUGGGAAACUGGGUCUAAUACCGAAUAGGACCACGCGCUUCAUGGUGUGUGGUGGAAAGCUUUUGCGGUGUGGGAUGGGCCCGCGGCCUAUCAGCUUGUUGGUGGGGUAAUGGCCUACCAAGGCGACGACGGGUAGCCGGCCUGAGAGGGUGACCGGCCACACUGGGACUGAGAUACGGCCCAGACUCCUACGGGAGGCAGCAGUGGGGAAUAUUGCACAAUGGGCGCAAGCCUGAUGCAGCGACGCCGCGUGAGGGAUGACGGCCUUCGGGUUGUAAACCUCUUUCAAUAGGGACGAAGCGCAAGUGACGGUACCUAUAGAAGAAGCACCGGCCAACUACGUGCCAGCAGCCGCGGUAAUACGUAGGGUGCGAGCGUUGUCCGGAAUUACUGGGCAUAAAGAGCUCGUAGGUGGUUUGUCGCGUUGUUCGUGAAAACUCACAGCUUAACUGUGGGCGUGCGGGCGAUACGGGCAGACUAGAGUACUGCAGGGGAGACUGGAAUUCCUGGUGUAGCGGUGGAAUGCGCAGAUAUCAGGAGGAACACCGGUGGCGAAGGCGGGUCUCUGGGCAGUAACUGACGCUGAGGAGCGAAAGCGUGGGGAGCGAACAGGAUUAGAUACCCUGGUAGUCCACGCCGUAAACGGUGGGUACUAGGUGUGGGUUCCUUCCUUGGGAUCCGUGCCGUAGCUAACGCAUUAAGUACCCCGCCUGGGGAGUACGGCCGCAAGGCUAAAACUCAAAGGAAUUGACGGGGGCCCGCACAAGCGGCGGAGCAUGUGGAUUAAUUCGAUGCAACGCGAAGAACCUUACCUGGGUUUGACAUGCACAGGACGCCGGCAGAGAUGUCGGUUCCCUUGUGGCCUGUGUGCAGGUGGUGCAUGGCUGUCGUCAGCUCGUGUCGUGAGAUGUUGGGUUAAGUCCCGCAACGAGCGCAACCCUUGUCCUAUGUUGCCAGCGGGUUAUGCCGGGGACUCGUAGGAGACUGCCGGGGUCAACUCGGAGGAAGGUGGGGAUGACGUCAAGUCAUCAUGCCCCUUAUGUCCAGGGCUUCACACAUGCUACAAUGGCCGGUACAAAGGGCUGCGAUGCCGUGAGGUGGAGCGAAUCCUUUCAAAGCCGGUCUCAGUUCGGAUCGGGGUCUGCAACUCGACCCCGUGAAGUCGGAGUCGCUAGUAAUCGCAGAUCAGCAACGCUGCGGUGAAUACGUUCCCGGGCCU
This 1337-nucleotide ribosomal RNA is filed under the name uncultured bacterium. Its description in RNAcentral is "bacterial SSU rRNA". It matches the Rfam family "Bacterial small subunit ribosomal RNA", at positions 28 to 1381 of the family's 1533-position model. The record is from RNAcentral.